RNAcentral lists this unclassified non-coding RNA (377 nucleotides) under uncultured Pseudobdellovibrionaceae bacterium. RNAcentral's name for it is "uncultured Bdellovibrionaceae bacterium contains 16S-23S intergenic spacer region". The record is from RNAcentral. Lineage: Bacteria; Pseudomonadati; Bdellovibrionota; Bdellovibrionia; Bdellovibrionales; Pseudobdellovibrionaceae.
UCCGACUUAACGUCGGCAGUCCCUCUAGAGUGCCCAACUAAAUGCUGGCAACUAAAGGCAAGGGUUGCGCUCGUUGCGGGACUUAACCCAACAUCUCACGACACGAGCUGACGACAGCCAUGCAGCACCUGUGUACAGACCCUUGCGGGCGACACCAUCUCUGGUAGUCUUCCUGUACAUGUCAAAUCCUGGUAAGGUUCUUCGCGUUGCAUCGAAUUAAACCACAUGCUCCACCGCUUGUGCGGGCCCCCGUCAAUUUCUUUGAGUUUUAAUCUUGCGACCGUACUCCCCAGGCGGGAUACUUAACGCGUUAGCUUCGCCACUGAAGGGGUCAAUACCUCCAACGGCAAGUAUCCAUCGUUUACAGUGCGGACUAC